This 375-nucleotide ribosomal RNA is filed under the name Escherichia coli. RNAcentral's name for it is "partial 23S ribosomal RNA". It matches the Rfam family "Bacterial large subunit ribosomal RNA", at positions 1367 to 1744 of the family's 2925-position model. Lineage: Bacteria; Pseudomonadati; Pseudomonadota; Gammaproteobacteria; Enterobacterales; Enterobacteriaceae. The record is from RNAcentral.
AAUCGGGGCAGGGUGAGUCGACCCCUAAGGCGAGGCCGAAAGGCGUAGUCGAUGGGAAACAGGUUAAUAUUCCUGUACUUGGUGUUACUGCGAAGGGGGGACGGAGAAGGCUAUGUUGGCCGGGCGACGGUUGUCCCGGUUUAAGCGUGUAGGCUGGUUUUCCAGGCAAAUCCGGAAAAUCAAGGCUGAGGCGUGAUGACGAGGCACUACGGUGCUGAAGCAACAAAUGCCCUGCUUCCAGGAAAAGCCUCUAAGCAUCAGGUAACAUCAAAUCGUACCCCAAACCGACACAGGUGGUCAGGUAGAGAAUACCAAGGCGCUUGAGAGAACUCGGGUGAAGGAACUAGGCAAAAUGGUGCCGUAACUUCGGGAGAA